GUUUACCUCGUAUCCAAGCCUCCGGCUGGCCCUCGUUUCCAACCUCUCCUGCCGUCCUCGACUCCUGGUCGUCUCCAAUUGAUCCGGUAAAAUUGUCUUUGUUGAAUUGAUUUUUUUUAUUGAAAAGCUUGCAUGAUCCUGUCUUGACUAGAUUUUUAAAAACUACAUGCAAUUGAACAAAUAAAGAAGUAUGUCUGUCAAGUAUGCCGUCUGCUAUGGGAAUUAUUAGUCUUUUGCAAUUUCUUUACCUUGCUGAUAUGUAUUAAAUUUCAGCUCAGCUCAUGUAGUUAUAUUAUUAUUGCGCCUGGGGUUUGCUACAUGGUGAUACCUUUUUGUUACAAAUAUGGGUCUUUCGAUUAGCCAUUUGCUUCUCCUUUUUUGUGCUAUCCCUAUGGUUAUACAUAACUUUGUUAUUCGUAAAUGCUUCUCACAUUUUCAGCUUCCUAGUUGCAAUUUUUUCAUGUGCUUGAAAAUUGAUGAGUGUGACCUGUUAGUUUCUCUGCUUCCAGCUUUGAUCGUGUCAUAAGCCUAUUAGAUUUUUUCUAUAAGAACUAACACUGAUUCAGUAUGACCAAUGUAUAUUCGGUGUGGUAAAAUCAUUGUGGAGAUAUUUCAGUAGCUGACCUUUGAGGAUAAAUGACAUUAUAGGAUUUUUAAGCUUAUAAUUCCCACACUCCAUUCUACAGGUUGACUGAAUUCUAAAUGGUUGCAUGAUAAUCGGUCCUUGCAGUUGACACAGGUGUGAGUUGUGACUGCUGCCUUCAACUAGUUCAUAAUUUUUAUGUAUCAUGCAACUUCGAAGGAGCUAAUUGCUAUGGACUGCUCUCUUUUUUGUAAGAAGUGGCUAAUUGGGGGUAGAAGAUUCAAUCCUUAUUUGAUGGCUGCUGACAGGGAGCUGCAGUACUGCAUACAUCAAGAAUCCAUGGAACAUGUGCGAUUGCACUUCUUAGCUUGUCCAACAGCUUCUUCCCCUCAAAUGAGAUUUAACACCCACUUGGCGUAUUUUUGCAACAAACCUGGAACAAACAAGGUCAAAGAUGGAGAUGGGUCAUUCGAGUUCAAAACUGAUGCGGGGCAAAUGAUCAGAAGGCUUGACACUAGUGUGCCAGCUCCAACAAGGUGCUGAUGAAGUGCCCUUCAGCACCUUGAUUAACCGGCAAACAUAGUGCAGUAUAGAUUAAGUCGAGUCAUGUACAAUUAAUUCCUUUGUGUUUGAUAGGCACGUUAUUCAGACCACGCUGAUAUUUAUCUUAUUGGCACAUGAGGUUAUGCCGACAUGUAAAUCUAUUUUAUAUACCCUUUAACGCAAUCAAGGUAUAAGAGUUGUUGGGUGUAUCAUCAGGCUGUCCCAGUCAAAGUUAGGCCAUGUAAUCAGGUGAUGUAAUCAGUCAAUAAUAUGAGUA
Molecule: long non-coding RNA, 1403 nt
Organism: Lolium rigidum
Lineage: Eukaryota; Viridiplantae; Streptophyta; Magnoliopsida; Poales; Poaceae
Exons: 4
Source: RefSeq, a predicted model, not a curated record